CACGUUCCCAUACGAUCACUGAAGUUGAGCAAUGUUAAGCCUGGUCAGUACCUAGAUGGGUGACCACUUGGGAAUACCAGGUGCUGUAAG
Non-coding RNA from Acanthosepion pharaonis, 90 nucleotides. The record is from the annotation of a GenBank genome assembly. Lineage: Eukaryota; Metazoa; Mollusca; Cephalopoda; Sepiida; Sepiidae.